UAGCAUAAUCAUUAGUUUUUUAAUUGAAAACUGGAAUGAAAGGUUAAAUAAAAAAUAAUCUUUAUUAGUUUUAAAAUAUUUGAAUUUGUUUUUUUAGUAAAAAAACUAAAAUUAUAUAAAAAGACGAUAAGACCCUAUAAAGCUUUAUAAUAAAAAAUUUAAUAAUUUAUUAGAAUAUUUAAAUUAAUUCUUUUUUUUUAUUUAAUUGGGGUGAUUUAAAGAUUUAGUAAACUCUUUAUUAAAAGUAUCAUUUUUAAAUGUUUUUUGAUCCUUAAAAUUUUAAGAGUAAAAAAAUAAGUUACUUUAGGGAUAACAGCGUAAUUUUUUUGAAGAGUUCAAAUCGAUAAAAAAGAUUGCGACCUCGAUGUUGAAUUAAGAUAAAUUUUAGGUGUAGAAGUUUAA
This 402-nucleotide ribosomal RNA is filed under the name Micropsectra seguyi. Its description in RNAcentral is "partial 16S ribosomal RNA". Lineage: Eukaryota; Metazoa; Arthropoda; Insecta; Diptera; Chironomidae. The record is from RNAcentral.